GGCACGGGGAGGUAGUGACAAAAAAUAACGAUACGGGACUCAUCCGAGGCCCCGUAAUCGGAAUGAGAACAUCCUAAAUCCUUUAACGAGGAUCUAUUGGAGGGCAAGUCUGGUGCCAGCAGCCGCGGUAAUUCCAGCUCCAAUAGCGUAUAUUAAAGUUGUUGCGGUUAAAAAGCUCGUAGUUGGUUCUGCGUGCCACGCUGUCGGUUCACCGCCUGUCGGUGCAACUGGCAUGCCGUGGUAUGUCCUGUCGGUGGCGUACAGGCUUCGCGGUGCUCCCUACACGAUACGUUGUGUAGGUCGUCGCGUCGUACCUGUGCGCCGGCUCAAUCCUACCGCGGUGCUCUUCAUCGAGUGUCGAGGUAGGCCGACACAUUUUACUUUGAACAAAUUAGAGUGCUUAAAGCAGGCUCUUAAAUCAGCCUGAAUAGUGGUGCAUGGAAUAAUGGAACAGGACCUUGGUUCUAUUUUGUUGGUUUUAGGAAUCCAAGGUAAUGAUCAAUAAGGACAGGCGGGGGCAUUCGUAUUGCGACGUUAGAGGUGAAAUUCUUGGAUCGUCGCAAGACGCACUAGAGCGAAAGCAUUUGCCAAGUAUGUCCUAAUUGAUCAAGAACGAAAGUUAGAGGUUCGAAGGCGAUCAGAUACCGCCCUAGUUCUAACCAUAAACGAUGCCAGCCAGCGAUCCGCCGAUGUUCUUUAGAUGACACGGCGGGGAGCUUCCCCCGGGAAACCAAAGCUUUUGGGUUCCGGGGGAAGUAUGGUUGCAAAGCUGAAACUUAAAGGAAUUGACGGAAGGGCACCACCAGGAGUGGAGCCUGCGGCUUAAUUUGACUCAACACG
This 840-nucleotide ribosomal RNA is filed under the name Ectatops nr. limbatus L51. RNAcentral's name for it is "SSU rRNA". It matches the Rfam family "Eukaryotic small subunit ribosomal RNA", at positions 453 to 1207 of the family's 1831-position model. Lineage: Eukaryota; Metazoa; Arthropoda; Insecta; Hemiptera; Pyrrhocoridae. The record is from RNAcentral.